GCAGCCGCGGUAAGACAGAGGGUGCAAACGUUGUUCGGAAUUACUGGGCGUAAAGCGCGUGUAGGCUGCUCGGAAAGUCGGAUGUGAAAGCCCUGGGCUCAACCUAGGAAGUGCAUUCGAAACUUCCGAGCUGGAGUGCUGGAGAGGAAGGCGGAAUUCCCGGUGUAGAGGUGAAAUUCGUAGAUAUCGGGAGGAACACCAGUGGCGAAGGCGGCUCUCUGGGCAGAUACCGACGCUGAGACGCGAAAGCGUGGGAAGCAAACAGGAUUAGAUACCCUGGUAGUCCACGCUGUAAACGAUGACAACUGGGUGUUGCGGGGUAUUGACUCCCGCUGCGCCGAAGCUAACGCGUUAAGUUGUCCGCCUGGGAAGUACGGCCGCAAGGCUAAAACUCAAAGGAAUUGACGGGGGGCCCGGCCACAAAGCGGUGGAGCAUGUGGUUUAAUUCGACG
This 452-nucleotide ribosomal RNA is filed under the name uncultured bacterium. Its description in RNAcentral is "bacterial SSU rRNA". It matches the Rfam family "Bacterial small subunit ribosomal RNA", at positions 511 to 956 of the family's 1533-position model. The record is from RNAcentral.